Molecule: unclassified non-coding RNA, 267 nt
Filed under: plant metagenome
Description: partial contains small subunit ribosomal RNA, internal transcribed spacer 1, and 5.8S ribosomal RNA
Source: RNAcentral
UUUCCGUAGGUGAACCUGCGGAAGGAUCAUUAUCGUACAAAAUGUGAGGGGCCUGCGAGGGCUGUCGCUGACCCAAACGUCGUGCACGCCCGAGUGUGUCCUCUUGCAUAAUAAUCCAUCUCACCCUUUGUGCAUCACCGCGUGGGCACCCUUCGGGAUCAUCUCGGAGGGGGGCUCGCGUUUUCACACAAACCCCCCUUUUAAAAGUGUAGAAGGACCACAUUUAUGCAAUCAAUACAACUUUCAACAACGGAUCUCUUGGCUCUC